GGGGGGCGGGGAAAAGGGAGGAGGGCCAGAAGAUGGUUGUGUUGGAUGUGAAUGGGGCGGGUGGGCGCCAGGGGCAAUUAUGACCGCAGGCUGGUUUAGGGGUUGGGUAAGGUCAGGUGUCCUCUGGGGUUGGGAGGAGGAAGGUCGGCUGGUGGCCCAGCUGCGGGGUUCUGGUGGGUCCAGGCCGAUGGAGUGGCUCACCUGUGUAGGCCAGGACGCAGGCUGAUCAGCACUGGAUCAGAACCGCUACAUGAAACCUGAGAAACUCCUAAAACCCAUUCCCCAGAAUGGAUAUCGCAGAGUAUGCUCAGACAGAGCCACUCAGGCCUGCAUUCCGCAUCAAAGAACACAUGAAAGAACACAGAUCGGAGAAAGAAAAACCCCAACUUUGGUAACAGGAUUCCAGUGAGGAAUUCUGGUUGUUCUGAUGCUUUGCAUGAAACACUUUGAACUUUCAGAAAAGAGCUUUAGAUUUGUUGGCAGGUAAGUAUGUGAGGUAAUGCAUAUUUUAACUAGCUUGAAUUUAACCAUUCCACAAUGUGUGUAUGUGUAUAUAUACCAGAACUUGUGUAUAUCAUAGCUAUAUACAAUUUUACUUAAAGUAAAUAAUUAUUAACAUUUUACAAAUAGAUUGGAUGCCAAUGAGGGAUGUGUGUGUGUGUGUUUGUGUGUGUGCGCCCAUGUGCACAGGCACCUGUGUGAAUACAUAUGGUUCUGAUCCACAAUUUUAUGCUCCUUGUCUUUAAAUAAAGCUACUUGGUGCCCAUACA
This 770-nucleotide long non-coding RNA is filed under the name Oryctolagus cuniculus (rabbit). RNAcentral's name for it is "lncRNA (ENSOCUG00000035443.1)". The record is from RNAcentral. Lineage: Eukaryota; Metazoa; Chordata; Mammalia; Lagomorpha; Leporidae.